This 909-nucleotide ribosomal RNA is filed under the name Enterococcus faecium. RNAcentral's name for it is "bacterial SSU rRNA". It matches the Rfam family "Bacterial small subunit ribosomal RNA", at positions 9 to 873 of the family's 1533-position model. The record is from RNAcentral. Lineage: Bacteria; Bacillati; Bacillota; Bacilli; Lactobacillales; Enterococcaceae.
AAAAGGUUUUAAUUUCUGCUCAGGACGAACGCUGGCGGCGUGCCUAAUACAUGCAAGUCGAACGCUUCUUUUUCCACCGGAGAUUUUUUGACACUGGAAAAAGAAGAGUGGCGAACGGGGGAGUAACACGUGGGUAUCCUGCCCCUCUAGAAGGGGAGAGCGCCUGGAAGACAGGUGUCUAAUACCGUAUAUCAAUCUAUAUCCGCAUGGUUUUGAUUUGAAAGGCGCUUUUGAUGUGUCUAUGAUGGAUGGAGGACGCGGUGCAUUAGGUAGUUGGUGAGGUAACGGCUCACCAAGGCCACGAUGCAUAACCGACCUGAGAGGGUGAUCGUCCACAUUGGGUCUGAGACGCGGCUCAAACUCCUUCGGGAGGCAGCAGUAGGCAAUCUUCGGCAAUAGACGACAGUGUGGCAUAGCAACCCAGCGUGAGUGACGAAGGUCUUCCGAUCGUAAAGAUCUGUUGUUAGAGAAGAACAAGGAUGAGAGUUCCUGUUCAUCCCUUGUCGGUAUCUCACCAGAAAAACCCGGGUAUAUAUGUGCCACCACCCGCGGUAAUAUGUAGGGGGCAAGAGUUGUCCGGAUUUUUUGGGGGUAAAAAGAGCGCAGACGGUUUUUUAACUGUGAUGUGAAAACCCCCGGCUCAUCCCCGGAGGGUCACCGGAAACUGGGACACUUGAGAGCAGAAGAGGAGAGAGGAAUUCCAUGAGUAGCGGUGAAAAACGUAGAUAUAUGGAGGAACACCACUGGGGAAGAGGGCUCUCUGGUCUGUAUCUGACGCUGAGGCUCGAAAGAGUGGGGAGCACACACGAUUAGAUACCCCGGUAGACCCCGCCGUAAACGAUGAGUAUAAGUCUGGAGGGUUUCCGCCCUUCAGUGGUGCAGCUAACGCAUAAGCAUCCGCCUGGAGUC